RNAcentral lists this ribosomal RNA (349 nucleotides) under uncultured bacterium. RNAcentral describes it as "bacterial SSU rRNA". It matches the Rfam family "Bacterial small subunit ribosomal RNA", at positions 8 to 349 of the family's 1533-position model. The record is from RNAcentral.
AGAGUUUGAUCCUGGCUCAGGAUGAACGCUAGCUACAGGCUUAACACAUGCAAGUCGAGGGGCAGCAUCAUCAAAGCUUGCUUUGAUGGAUGGCGACCGGCGCACGGGUGAGUAACACGUAUCCAACCUGCCGACAACACUGGGAUAGCCUUUCGAAAGAAAGAUUAAUACCGGAUGGCAUAAUUAUUCCGCAUGGGAUAAUUAUUAAGGAAUUUCGGUUGUCGAUGGGGAUGCGUUCCAUUAGGCAGUUGGCGGGGUAACGGCCCACCAAACCUACGAUGGAUAGGGGUUCUGAGAGGAAGGUCCCCCACAUUGGAACUGAGACACGGUCCAAACUCCUACGGGAGCA